CCCGAUGAUCAAGAGCGAAAGUUAAGGGUUCGAAAACGAUCAGAUACCGUUGUAGUCUUAACUAUAAACAAUGCAAACCAGUGUUAGGGCGAUGUCCCUUUCGACUCCCCCCGGAACUUAGAGAAAUCAGAGUAUUUGGGUUCCGGGGGGAGUAUGGUCGCAAGAUUGAAACUUAAAGGAAUUGACGGAAGGGCACACAAAGAGUGGAACCUGCGGCUUAAUUUGACUCAACACGGGAAAACUCACCAGGUCCGGAUACACGUAUGAAAGUCAAGCUGAAAGACUUUACUCAAUGAUGUAAGUGGUGGUGCAUGGUCGUUCGUGGUUCGUGGAUUGAUUUGUCUGGUUAAUUCCGAUAACGAGCGAGACCCUAGCGUUCUAAAUAGGGGGGUUAGCCAAGCGCUGCAGCAAUGUGGUGCUAGCUUCGCCUUAUCUUUAAACUUCUUAGACGUAUCAGAGCCGAAAAGGUUCUUGAAAUGGGUUAAUAACAGGUCAGUUAUGCCCUUAGAUGUUCUGGGCCGCACGCGCGUUACAAUGGCAUGUAAAGCGCGUGCCCUUUGCUGGGUUCCCCCCAGGCCGAAAGGUCUGGGUAAUCACUAAGACUUGCCUUGACUGGGCUCGAUCUUUGGAAUUAUUGGUCUUAAACGAGGAAUUUUUAGUAAUAGCCAGGUCAUUAGCCUGCGCUGAAUGCGUCCCUGCCCUUUGUAC
RNAcentral lists this ribosomal RNA (708 nucleotides) under Physarum sp. Its description in RNAcentral is "SSU rRNA". It matches the Rfam family "Eukaryotic small subunit ribosomal RNA", at positions 969 to 1665 of the family's 1831-position model. The record is from RNAcentral. Lineage: Eukaryota; Evosea; Eumycetozoa; Physariida; Physaraceae.